AAUUCUCAACUCCCUAUUUUUAUUAAUGGGCGAGCUUGGACUUGGAGGUCGUGUCGGCUCUUGUAGUCGACUCCUCUUAAAUGUAUUAGCGUGAAUCUUACGGAUCGCCUUCAGUGUGAUAAUUAUCUGCGCUGUGGUGUUGAAGUAUUUCAUAGUUCGUGCUUACAACCGUCUCGCAAGAGACAACUUUGACA
RNAcentral lists this unclassified non-coding RNA (194 nucleotides) under uncultured fungus. RNAcentral describes it as "sequence contains ITS2". The record is from RNAcentral. Lineage: Eukaryota; Fungi.